UACAGAGGUCUCAAGCGUUGUUCGGAUUCAUUGGGCGUAAAGGGUGUGUAGGUGGCGCCGUAAGUCGGGGUGUGAAAUUUCGGAGCUUAACUCCGAACUGCAUUCGAUACUGCCGUGCUUUGAGGACUGGAGAGGAGACUGGAAUUUACGGUGUAGCGGUGAAAUGCGUAGAUAUCGUAAGGAAGACCAGUGGCGAAGGCGGGUCUCUGACAGUUCCUGACGCUGAGGCACGAAGGCCAGGGGAGCAAACGGG
This 253-nucleotide ribosomal RNA is filed under the name uncultured bacterium. Its description in RNAcentral is "partial 16S ribosomal RNA". It matches the Rfam family "Bacterial small subunit ribosomal RNA", at positions 524 to 776 of the family's 1533-position model. The record is from RNAcentral.